Molecule: ribosomal RNA, 253 nt
Filed under: uncultured bacterium
Lineage: Bacteria
Description: partial 16S ribosomal RNA
Rfam family: Bacterial small subunit ribosomal RNA
Source: RNAcentral
UACGUAGGGUCCGAGCGUUGUCCGGAAUUAUUGGGCGUAAAGAGCUCGUAGGCGGUUUGUCGCGUCUGCUGUGAAAUCCCGAGGCUCAACCUCGGGCCUGCAGUGGGUACGGGCAGACUUGAGUGGUGUAGGGGAGACUGGAAUUCCUGGUGUAGCGGUGGAAUGCGCAGAUAUCAGGAGGAACACCGAUGGCGAAGGCAGGUCUCUGGGUCGAUACUGACGCUCAUGCACGAAAGCGUGGGGAGCAAACAGG